UCUUCGGCUCUGUCCUGUUGGUGUCAACUAUCCACCCGGGUUUGAUUUGAGUAUUCAAUAUUUUGUCUUUUAAGCAUAUCAAUUUAAUUCGAUUGUUCAGAAGUGAUCGGAAUAGUGAAAUCAACAUUCCAUUUUCAACUUUAUUUGCAUAUCAAGCAGAAUGGCUGGCACAUCGACAGACGCCAAACAGUUUCCACUGAUCCCAAAGAUUAUCAACGGUGGCAUUGCAGGCAUCAUCGGAGUGUCAUGUGUUUUUCCAUUGGACUUGGUGAAAACAAGACUGCAAAAUCAACAGGUUGGACCCAAGGGUGAACUAAUGUAUAAAUCUAUGUUUGAUUGUUUUAAGAAGACUUACAAAGUGGAAGGUUAUUUUGGGAUGUAUCGAGGUUCUGCCGUUAAUAUAUUGCUGAUAACCCCUGAAAAGGCUAUUAAAUUGGCUGCCAAUGACUUUUUCCGGCACAACCUUAAAACAAAGGACGGG
Long non-coding RNA from Ochlerotatus camptorhynchus, 481 nucleotides. RefSeq lists it as uncharacterized. Lineage: Eukaryota; Metazoa; Arthropoda; Insecta; Diptera; Culicidae. The transcript has 4 exons. The record is from RefSeq and is a predicted model, not a curated record.